CUCAUUGCAACAGAUAGCUGAUCUGAGAAAAGACAGUUCUCAUAAGAGCCUGCUCAAGCUGCUAAGCCAGUUCUGCAUAAAGCUGAAUAAAAGCAUAUGUGUAAUGUCAAGAUACUGAGGACUGGGGACUUAAACCCCGGUCACGUAAGUGCUUCUCCUGAGCUUUCCGCCUCCCUGCAGAAGCCUGAGUCUACGUCUCCCAUCUUGUCGCUGACUCAGCUGCCGGGCACAGCUAAGCAGAGAGGUGCUGGAGUGCAGCUCCCCGGGCACAUUUUUCCCCACUGUCGACCUCCCGGUUUCUGCGGGAGGGUGAGAGCCUAAGAAAAGCAGGAGGUGCCUGGCUCCAAGUUGCCAAACUACCUCCUGUCAUGAAGUUAACAAAUUGUCAACUGCAAAGGGACCCUGGGAGACCACUGGUUUUCCCCAGCGCCAUUGGAGGUCAACACAGUGAUGUCUGCACAAGCCCACUGAAGCUCCGUUAUCUCCCUGAUCUUGCUGGGAGAAGCUCGGCCUCUAGAUUCUGGCGUCUGGAGAGGUGGCCGUGGUGAGGCCUGGGGACAUGUUUUCAGCCCUAGACCAACAGCUGUGUUUCCAGCCAGUGAUCGUCGGUUCCUGUGCUUGGAGACAAAGAAUUGAAACCAAACACCAAAGUAGCGGGGCAUCAGCAGAAAGUUUUAUUUAGCAAGCACACGCCCAGACGGACGCGGAAGGGGGCCGUCAAAGGCGCAAGC
Long non-coding RNA from Lemur catta (Ring-tailed lemur), 731 nucleotides. RefSeq lists it as uncharacterized. The transcript is spliced from 3 exons. The record is from RefSeq and is a predicted model, not a curated record. NCBI's taxonomy places the organism in Eukaryota, Metazoa, Chordata, Mammalia, Primates, Lemuridae.